Nilaparvata lugens (brown planthopper) is the source of this 1245-nucleotide long non-coding RNA. RefSeq lists it as uncharacterized. NCBI's taxonomy places the organism in Eukaryota, Metazoa, Arthropoda, Insecta, Hemiptera, Delphacidae. The transcript is spliced from 3 exons. The record is from RefSeq and is a predicted model, not a curated record.
GCUCCUUAUUUUUGAAAACAAAGACUGGACACAUAAGAAAUGAAGACCCCAGCCCAGCUACGUAUUAAUUUAUCAAGCGUUUCAACUGAACAGGCAGCUUUUGAAUCUAUAGCUGAAGAUGACUGUGAUAUCGACACCUAUGACAGUGAUGCAGACCCAUUAUUUGAACCAUCAGACUCAGAUUCUGUAUCUUCUGAUGAAGUUAAGAAAAUAUGGAACCAAACAGACGUCAACAGACAUUGGCUGAUGAAGAAGGUGGAAACAUGGUGACUGAGAACAACAUUCUUCAAGAGAAAGAAACUCAGGAAAAGGAGUAAAGUUGCAAACAAACUUUCCUGGAACAAAAAUAUUCGUAAAGUGAAUCGUCAGAAAGGGGUAGCAUAUACAUCCAUGAGGGGAAAACCUGUUAAUGGAAGAAAGGUGAGAGCAAAGGACUGUUCAAAGUGUCCACGUAAGUGUAACUCUCACUUUGAUGAAAGUGAAUGAGUGAAGCUACAUGAAAGUUAUUGGAACAUUGGUAAUCUUGAAAAACAACGGCAAUACAUAAGAGGUUUAGUGGAACAAACAAAAAAAGCAGUUGUUAGAACCACUGAGCCUGAAUCUAGGAGACAAAAUACUUUGAAAUUUUUUUUAGUAAGAGAUUCAGAGAAGAUUCAAGUCUUCAAAAGUUUUUUUAGAGCUACAUUUCACAUAUCAGAAAUGUUUAUAAGGAAUGUCAUUAAGAAAUCAGAUGAUAACAAUAUAGUCCAAAUUGAUAAGAGGAGAAGACACCAGCCCGGUUUGAAACGACCAGAGGCAUGUAGAGAAUAUAUUAUAAAAGAGCAUAUUGAAUCGUUCCCAAGAGUGCCUUCCCACUACUGUCGAAAAGAUACACUUUAUGAAUAUUUGGCUUGUGAUCUCAACAUAAAUAAAAUGUAUGAUUUGUAUAAAACUAAAUGUGAAACAGAUGGUGUAGUUCCAGAAAAAUUUUGGUUUUACAGAAAUAUUUUCGUCACAGAAUUUAAUAUAAAAGCUCAGGAAGCUCAUGAAAAUAGAAACCGUGAAGCAAAAGAAAUUAAAACAAGAAUGAAGGAGCAAGCAGUGAAUGAUGAAAUAAAUUUUGUGGAAUUCGACAUGAAAGCAGUGCAGUACUGCCCAUCAAUUAAUGCAAUGGCAAUCUUUUAUAGGAGAAGACUUGCAUAUGUCGAAUGAAGAAAAGGAAAAAAUAAUGAAGCUCAGGAAGCUCAUGAAAAUAGAAACCGUGAA